UACGAAGGGGGCUAGCGUUGUUCGGAAUUACUGGGCGUAAAGCGCACGUAGGCGGAAUGCUAAGUCAGGGGUGAAAUCCCGGGGCUCAACCCCGGAACUGCCUUUGAUACUGGCAUUCUCGAGUCCGGAAGAGGUGAGUGGAAUUCCGAGUGUAGAGGUGAAAUUCGUAGAUAUUCGGAAGAACACCAGUGGCGAAGGCGGCUCACUGGCCCGGUACUGACGCUGAGGUGCGAAAGCGUGGGGAGCAAACAGG
Molecule: ribosomal RNA, 253 nt
Filed under: uncultured bacterium
Lineage: Bacteria
Description: partial 16S ribosomal RNA
Rfam family: Bacterial small subunit ribosomal RNA
Source: RNAcentral